Molecule: long non-coding RNA, 927 nt
Organism: Microtus ochrogaster (prairie vole)
Lineage: Eukaryota; Metazoa; Chordata; Mammalia; Rodentia; Cricetidae
Gene: Dcaf11
Exons: 2
Source: RefSeq, a predicted model, not a curated record
GACCUCCUAAGCGGCCACAUUGUGAAGAAGCUGACCAACCACAAGGCAUGUGUGCGUGAUGUCAGUUGGCACCCCUUUGAGGAAAAGAUUGUCAGCAGUUCGUGGGAUGGGAAUCUGCGUCUUUGGCAGUACCGCCAGGCUGAGUACUUCCAGGAUGACAUGCCAGAGUCUGAGAAAGGUUCCAGUGCUCCCACUCCGGUGUCCUGCCCUUCUGUGGCCUUUUCUUCCCCUCAGUAGAUCUGACCUCCAGCUCUGUAGAGGGUGGAUUCUCAACAUAUUCUCUGCCUGUUCCUCCCUUUCCCCUUCUGGGGAGUAUGAGGAGGAGCUGAUGACAUUGGGUGGUGGAAACAAGCCCAGGGUCUGGGCCCAAGCUGAGCCUGGUCUACCCCCACCCCCAGGCCGAGAGGUUUCCUCACGCAUUCACACCCAGUCUGCUUGGAUUUCUAUCUGUAGCCAGAGUGUGGCAGGACAGCCUUUAUCUGGGGUGCAGCUUCUGCCAACAAGUCAAUUGUCGUGAGUGUUUUGAAUCAUGUUCCAAUGUUAGAUAUUGGCUCAUAGUGUAGAUCCCUGAGGUCUGAAUAGACCCAUCAGCAAUGCCCUUUGCCCAGGUCUUCACACUGAGGAUUAGAUUGGCCAAUCAGGGCUAAGUAUACUGGCCUUUCUUCCUUAGAUCUUUGAAGGAGGACAGGGUGGGUAGAGCUUGUUUCCUCGGCACCCUCUUGGGGUGAGUCUUUUCUCAUAAUUGGACUUUGGGGUUAGGAGACUAUGGUCCGAGAAGUAGGAGUCUCCAGAAGCUCUAUAUGGCCCUCCUUGCCAUUGGAUCCUAUCAUUGCUGGUGGCAGCAGCUUCAACAAGAGAGGUUAAAGCAGGACCUCUCACCUUUUCACUGGCUUUGGUUUUCCCAAUAAACUGUCUGUGGGAAACUGG